GACGAACGCUGGCGGCAGGCCUAACACAUGCAAGUCGAGCGCUCUAGCAAUAGGGAGCGGCGCACGGGUGCGUAACGCGUGGGAAUGUACUCCUUGGUACGGAACAACAUCGGGAAACUGAUGCUAAUACCGUAUAAUAUCUCCGGAUCAAAGAUUUAUCGCCAAGGAAUCAGCCCGCGUCAGAUUAGCUAGUUGGUGAGGUAAUGGCUCACCAAGGCUACGAUCUGUAGCUGGUCUUAGAGGAUGAUCAGCCACACUGGAACUGAGACACGGUCCAGACUCCUACGGGAGGCAGCAGUGAGGAAUCUUGGACAAUGGGGGCAACCCUGAUCCAGCCAUGCCGCGUGAGUGAUGAAGGCCUUCGGGUUGUAAAGCUCUUUUAGCUGUGAAGAUAAUGACGGUAACAGCAGAAAAAGCCCCGGCUAACUUCGUGCCAGCAGCCGCGGUAA
Molecule: ribosomal RNA, 449 nt
Filed under: uncultured bacterium
Lineage: Bacteria
Description: partial 16S ribosomal RNA
Rfam family: Bacterial small subunit ribosomal RNA
Source: RNAcentral